GAUCCUGGCUCAGGACGAACGCUGGCGGCGCGCCUAACACAUGCAAGUCGAACGGGCGAGAGGAGGUUUACUUUCUCAAGCGAGUGGCGAACGGGUGAGUAACGCGUGAGGAACCUGCCUCAAAGAGGGGGACAACAGUUGGAAACGACUGCUAAUACCGCAUAAGCCCACGACCCGGCAUCGGGUAGAGGGAAAAGGAGCAAUCCGCUUUGAGAUGGCCUCGCGUCCGAUUAGCUAGUUGGUGAGGUAUCGG
RNAcentral lists this ribosomal RNA (253 nucleotides) under uncultured bacterium. RNAcentral describes it as "partial 16S ribosomal RNA". It matches the Rfam family "Bacterial small subunit ribosomal RNA", at positions 15 to 263 of the family's 1533-position model. The record is from RNAcentral.